AACUUCACUUCAAACAAACAAUGUAUUCAAGAAUAUAUAUAUAAUUUGAUAAAAGAACUUUGAUAAAAGUUAUCGAAGUGUAAUAAUAGUUAUACAAUUUCUUCUUAUUGUUUUCUUAUUAUUUUUAUUUGACGUUACUUUAUCAUUUCACUUGCAAAAAUUUCUAAUAAGAAAAA
Apis dorsata (giant honeybee) is the source of this 176-nucleotide long non-coding RNA. RefSeq lists it as uncharacterized. NCBI's taxonomy places the organism in Eukaryota, Metazoa, Arthropoda, Insecta, Hymenoptera, Apidae. The record is from RefSeq and is a predicted model, not a curated record. The transcript has 3 exons.